GCUGGGCAUGGUGGCGAGUGCCUGUAAUUCCAGCUACUUGGGAGGCUGAGGCAGGAGAAUUGCUUGAACCCAGGAGAUGGAGGUGGUAGUGAGCCCAGAUCAUGCCACUGCAUUCUAUCCUGGGUAAGAGAGUGAGACCCUGUCUCAA
Molecule: unclassified non-coding RNA, 148 nt
Organism: Callithrix jacchus (white-tufted-ear marmoset)
Lineage: Eukaryota; Metazoa; Chordata; Mammalia; Primates; Cebidae
Rfam family: Metazoan signal recognition particle RNA
About the family: The signal recognition particle (SRP) is a universally conserved ribonucleoprotein. It is involved in the co-translational targeting of proteins to membranes.
Source: Ensembl